UCGGGAAGUAGCUCAGCUUGGUAGAGCACAUGGUUUGGGACCAUGGGGUCGCAGGUUCGAAUCCUGUCUUCCCGAU
RNAcentral lists this transfer RNA (76 nucleotides) under Parageobacillus thermoglucosidasius. Its description in RNAcentral is "tRNA-Pro". It matches the Rfam family "tRNA". From Rfam's summary of the family: Transfer RNA (tRNA) molecules are approximately 80 nucleotides in length. Their secondary structure includes four short double-helical elements and three loops (D, anti-codon, and T loops). The record is from RNAcentral. Lineage: Bacteria; Bacillati; Bacillota; Bacilli; Caryophanales; Anoxybacillaceae. RNAcentral also lists the same sequence under 2 other names.